GGAGGUUUAGCUGAGUGGUAGAGCAUGUGCUUGCCAUGCACAAGGUUCUGGGUUCAAUUCCUAGGGCCUCUG
This 72-nucleotide transfer RNA is filed under the name Camelus bactrianus (Bactrian camel). It matches the Rfam family "tRNA". Rfam says of the family: Transfer RNA (tRNA) molecules are approximately 80 nucleotides in length. RNAcentral also lists the same sequence under 2 other names. Lineage: Eukaryota; Metazoa; Chordata; Mammalia; Artiodactyla; Camelidae. The record is from Rfam by way of RNAcentral.